This 837-nucleotide ribosomal RNA is filed under the name uncultured bacterium. RNAcentral describes it as "bacterial SSU rRNA". It matches the Rfam family "Bacterial small subunit ribosomal RNA", at positions 21 to 889 of the family's 1533-position model. The record is from RNAcentral.
GGCUCAGAAUCAACGCUGGCGGCGCGCUUAACACAUGCAAGUCGAACGAGAAAGCGGGAGCAAUCUCGCAAGUACAGUGGCGUACGGGUGAGUAACACGUGGGUAAUCUACCUCAUAGUGGGGAAUAACGCUGGGAACCCGGCGCUAAUACCGCAUAAGCUCGAAAGAGGAAAGCAGCAAUGCGCUGUGAGAGGAGCCCGCGGCCGAUUAGCCAGUUGGCAGGGUAAAAGCCUACCAAAGCUAAGAUCGGUAGCCGGCCUGAGAGGGCACACGGCCACACUGGCACUGAAACACGGGCCAGACUCCUACGGGAGGCAGCAGUGGGGAAUCUUGCACAAUGGGGGAAACCCUGAUGCAGCGACGCCGCGUGAGCGAUGAAGCCCUUCGGGGUGUAAAGCUCUUUCGGCAGGGACGAUAAUGACGGUACCUGCAGAAGCAGCUGCGGCUAACUACGUGCCAGCAGCCGCGGUAAUACGUAGGCAGCGAGCGUUGUUCGGAGUUACUGGGCGUAAAGGGUGUGUAGGCGGUUUUCUAAGUUUGGUGUGAAAUCUCCCGGCUCAACCGGGAGGGUGCGCCGAAAACUGGAAGGCUAGAGUGCGGGAUGGGAGAGUAGAAUUCCUGGUGUAGCGGUGAAAUGCGUAGAUAUCAGGAGGAAUACCGGUGGUGUAGACGGCUCUCUGGACCGCGACUGACGCUGAGACACGAAAGCGUGGGUAGCAAACAGGAUUAGAUACCCUGGUAGUCCACGCCCUAAACGAUGCAUAUUUGGUGUAGGUCAUUCAGUUGAUCUGUGCCGGAGCUAACGCGUUAAAUAUGCCGCCUGGGGAGUACAGUCGC